AGCUGCUGUUUGGAGCACAAACAUUGGAAUGAUAUUCUUGGGAAUCAAAAAUUAAAAAAAUUAAAAAUGUCCAUUAGCACCAAGGAGCUCAUGGGUUACUCCAUUAGCACCAAGGAGCUCAUUGGUUCUCCAUCUAAACGGAGGCAUGCUGCGCGGUGCUGGGCUGGCUACACUGAGUGGGAUGAUCAUUGCUUUAGAUCAGGUCCAUUAAACUUGCGCAGUGGGUACUCUCAAGCAGCAGGUGCUUGGACCGCUGUUCUGCCAUUGAUGGGGUGCCGGUCGCAUCCUCUGGUGAUGGUUUGCAAAGCUUCUUGGGUGUGGGCUUGAUUAGGCGCAGUGGUGGGCUUUGCUAUUGUGGCAUGUUCCCGCCCAGUACAGGCAUCAUUGCUGUGUGCCUCCUCUGCUGGUGCUGUUGUGGGCCUGCCAGCCUUGGUAUCAUUCUUAUGCUCAUGUGUCCUCUGAGCCAAAGUUAUAGAGGUAACACCUAUAGAAGAGGCCUGUUUAUUAUCGGCUGGGCAUUCAAGAAGUAUUUCAUAGACUCCUGGUUUCUCACAAUGGGUGCCGGGAUUAUUUUCAUUACGGAGAGCAUUGAAAACAGUAAUCAGUCUCUUAGUGGCAAUUCGUCUCCCAGCUUUCCAGGCCACUUUUCUUACUACAUUCAACCUACUAGUGCUAUAUAGGAUAGACAAAAAUUGUUUUUGUUCCAAGUGUUCGUCAGGAGUUGGGUCUUGCUGUUGAAUAGUAUGCACUCUCUUUAUUCUACAUUGGACAUUGCUUAAAAACUUGCUCGAGUAACUGUGGGACCGGCCUCUGAGCCAAAGUUAUAGAGGUAACACCUAUAGAAGAGGCCUGUUUAUUAUCGGC
This 864-nucleotide long non-coding RNA is filed under the name Androctonus crassicauda. The record is from RNAcentral. Lineage: Eukaryota; Metazoa; Arthropoda; Arachnida; Scorpiones; Buthidae.